CCUGACGACAUUAGCGAGUGUGAACCACCUGAUCCCAUCUCGAACUCAGAAGUGAAAGUGCUUAGCGCCGAUGGUAGUGUGGGGUUUCCCC
Molecule: ribosomal RNA, 91 nt
Filed under: Gammaproteobacteria bacterium
Lineage: Bacteria; Pseudomonadati; Pseudomonadota; Gammaproteobacteria
Source: RNAcentral